RNAcentral lists this ribosomal RNA (364 nucleotides) under uncultured cyanobacterium. Its description in RNAcentral is "bacterial SSU rRNA". It matches the Rfam family "Bacterial small subunit ribosomal RNA", at positions 355 to 733 of the family's 1533-position model. The record is from RNAcentral. Lineage: Bacteria; Bacillati; Cyanobacteriota.
GGGGGAAUUUUCCGCAAUGGGCGAAAGCCUGACGGAGCAAGACCGCGUGAGGGAGGAAGGCUCUUGGGUCGUAAACCUCUUUUCUAUGGGAAUAAGCAAGUGAAGGUACCAUAGGAAUCAGCAUCGGCUAACUCCGUGCCAGCAGCCGCGGUAAUACGGAGGAUGCAAGCGUUAUCCGGAAUGAUUGGGCGUAAAGCGUCCGUAGGUGGUUAGGCAAGUCUGCUGUCAAAGCUCGGGGCUUAACUCCGAAUCGGCGGUGGAAACUGCCUGACUUGAGUGCGGUAGGGGUAGAGGGAAUUCCCGGUGUAGCGGUGAAAUGCGUAGAGAUCGGGAAGAACACCAGCGGCGAAGGCGCUCUACUGGG